CAGCAGUGGGGAAUCUUGCACAAUGGAGGAAACUCUGAUGCAGCGAUGCCGCGUGAGUGAAGAAGGCCUUUGGGUUGUAAAGCUCUUUCGUCGGGGAAGAAAAUGACUGUACCCGAAUAAGAAGGUCCGGCUAACUUCGUGCCAGCAGCCGCGGUAAUACGAAGGGACCUAGCGUAGUUCGGAAUUACUGGGCUUAAAGAGUUCGUAGGUGGUUGAAAAAGUUGGUGGUGAAAUCCCAGAGCUUAACUCUGGAACUGCCAUCAAAACUUUUCAGCUAGAGUUUGAUAGAGGAAAGCAGAAUUUCUAGUGUAGAGGUGAAAUUCGUAGAUAUUAGAAAGAAUACCAAUUGCGAAGGCAGCUUUCUGGAUCAUUACUGACACUGAGGAACGAAAGCAUGGGUAGCGAAGAGGAUUAGAUACCCUCGUAGUCCAUGCCGUAAACGAUGUGUGUUAGACGUUGGAAAUUUAUUUUCAGUGUCGCAGCGAAAGCGAUAAACACACCGCCUGGGGAGUACGACCGCAAGGUUAAAACUCAAAUGAAUUGACGGGGACCCGCACAAGUAGUGGAGCAUGUGGUUUAAUUCGAAGAUACGCGCAGAACCUUACCAACACUUGACAUGUUCGUCGCGACUUUAAGAGAUUAAAGUUUUCGGUUCGGCCGGACGAAACACAGGUGCUGCAUGGCUGUCGUCAGCUCGUGUCGUGAGAUGUUGGGUUAAGUCCCGCAACGAGCGCAACCCUCACUUUUAGUUGCCAUCAUUUAGUUGGGCACUCUGAAAGAACUGCCAGUGAUAAGCUGGAGGAAGGUG
Molecule: ribosomal RNA, 808 nt
Filed under: marine metagenome
Description: bacterial SSU rRNA
Rfam family: Bacterial small subunit ribosomal RNA
Source: RNAcentral